Molecule: ribosomal RNA, 827 nt
Filed under: uncultured bacterium
Lineage: Bacteria
Description: bacterial SSU rRNA
Rfam family: Bacterial small subunit ribosomal RNA
Source: RNAcentral
AGAGUUUGAUCCUGGCUCAGGAUGAACGCUGGCGGCGUGCCUAACACAUGCAAGUCGAACGAGAAAGCACCCUCGGGUGCGAGUAGAGUGGCGAACGGGUGAGUAACACGUGACCAACCUGCCCCCGACACCGGGAUAACCUGGCGAAAGCCAUGCUAAUACCGGAUACUCCCGGGAGGGCGCAUGCCCGCCCGGGGAAAGCCCAGGCGGUCGGGGAUGGGGUCGCGGCCCAUUAGGUAGUAGGCGGGGUAGAGGCCCACCUAGCCGACGAUGGGUAGCCGGGUUGAGAGACCGACCGGCCACAUUGGGACUGAGACACGGCCCACACUCCUACGGGAGGCAGCAGUGGGGAAUUUUGCGCAAUGGGGGCAACCCUGACGCAGCAACGCCGCGUGCGGGACGAAGGCCCUAGGGUUGUAAACCGCUUUCAGCAGGGAAGACACUGACGGUACCUGCAGAAGAAGCUCCGGCUAACUACGUGCCAGCAGCCGCGGUAAUACGUAGGGAGCGAGCGUUAUCCGGAUUCAUUGGGCGUAAAGCGCGCGUAGGCGGCUCGCCAAGCGGGAUGUCAAAGCCCGGGGCUCAACCCCGGCCCGCAUCCCGAACUGGCGGGCUUGAGUUCGGUAGGGGAAAGUGGAAUGCCCAGUGUAGCGGUGAAAUGCGCAGAUAUUGGGCAGAACACCAGUGGCGAAGGCGGCUUUCUGGGCCGUAACUGACGCUGAGACGCGAAAGCUAGGGGAGCGACCAAAAAGAGCUACCCUGGUAGUCCUAGCCGUAAACGACCCUAAAAGGGUGGGGGCCGUCCCCCCGUGCCGAAGCCAACGCAU